Molecule: long non-coding RNA, 569 nt
Organism: Tupaia belangeri chinensis (Chinese tree shrew)
Lineage: Eukaryota; Metazoa; Chordata; Mammalia; Scandentia; Tupaiidae
Exons: 4
Source: RefSeq, a predicted model, not a curated record
UAUCUUCAUGCCCAGAGAUAACUCUUUCAUUGUUUCUUUCUCCAGUUCCUUGCCCAUCAUCUGCUCCGCUUUCAUGACUGCAUGUUCUGUAACUGUCGUGGGUCAGGUCAGCAGCUGCAGGAGAACUUGAUUAGUGCCUUGCCUCUGUGCAGAAGCAUUUCCCUGACAGCAUCGAUCCUGAGCGGUUUUGCUUUGCAGGCAGCUCCAGAGAGGAGGAGCUUGUACUGCAAGGGGGUGGACCGCUGUCUGGUCAAGUUUUUUACUUGUAUUUCUGUACUUCAACCAUGCUCCAAAGCUGACAUCAAAUAUCUAUCCCAAAGAAAGGAAGGAAGAGCCCUAAGAUCGACAAGAAGAGGGACUGCAGCAACAGAAAGUAAAUAUAAGCACUAGAGACACACUUAGGUUCAAAUCCCUGCUCUGCUGCAUUGUAGCUGCAUGACUUCUGGCAAGAAGAAAUCAAGCUGGGUGAGUCUAGACUGCAAUGGAUUAUCUGGAUCCAAAGCCGAAUGAGUUCAAAUUCAGAGCAUCCCAAGGCCGAUGAAGAAACUGAAGCAUAAAGCAUUUAGAAG